UAGCUCGGGUUUCUCUUCAUUCACGCAUAAAUCUUUCGCCUUUUACUAAAGAUUUCCGUGGAGAGGAACGUUGAUGAGUUCAACUUAUUUUUGCAGGCUUUGCUGUUGCAAAGCU
RNAcentral lists this small nuclear RNA (115 nucleotides) under Eptatretus burgeri (inshore hagfish). RNAcentral describes it as "U5 spliceosomal RNA (ENSEBUG00000000239.1)". It matches the Rfam family "U5 spliceosomal RNA". Rfam says of the family: U5 RNA is a component of both types of known spliceosome. The precise function of this molecule is unknown, though it is known that the 5' loop is required for splice site selection and p220 binding, and that both the 3' stem-loop and the Sm site are important for Sm protein binding and cap methylation. Lineage: Eukaryota; Metazoa; Chordata; Myxini; Myxiniformes; Myxinidae. The record is from Rfam by way of RNAcentral.